CUUGUGUCAUUUAGGGGGAAGUAAAAAGUCGUAAACAAAGGUUUCCGUAGGUGAACCCUGCGGAAGGAUCAUUAUUGAUGUUAUAAACCCGUCAUUUUCAGUGCUGGCUUUCUUGCAUGUGCACGUUGGGGCGGCAUUAUUCAUCUCACAACCCCCUUUGUGAACUCCUGGCCUUUGCUGGUUUCGACUGGCAGAGGAAUUUACACAAACUCGAAUGUAAUGAAAUGCUUGUUGUGCGUAAGCACUACUAUAUACAACUUUCAACAACGGAUCUCUUGGCUCUCGCAUCGAUGAAGAACGCAGCGAAAUGCGAUAAGUAAUGUGAAUUGCAGAAUUCAGUGAAUCAUCGAAUCUUUGAACGCACCUUGCACCCUUUGGUCUUCCAAAAGGGUAUGCUCGUUUGAGUGUCAUUGUACUCUCACACUCCUCUCUUAUUGAGAGGAGUAGUGGACUUGGAUGUUGCCCGCUUCAAUGUCAGGCUCAUCUCAAAUCGCUUAGUGUAACUCUAGAUUGGACAUAAGUAACAUGUUUACUACACAGCGUGAUAAGUAUCCUCGCUAGUGUGCCUCCCAAGCGCGGGAGGGUGUCUAAUGGACGGGCUCUGCGCUUCAAACCGUCUUUUGACAAAUCUCUGACAAGUUGGUCUCAAAUCGAGUAGGAUUACCCGCUGAACUUAAGCAUAUCAAUAAGCGGAGGA
RNAcentral lists this ribosomal RNA (697 nucleotides) under uncultured Sebacina. Its description in RNAcentral is "eukaryotic LSU rRNA". The stretch from base 256 to 410 matches the Rfam family "5.8S ribosomal RNA". The record is from RNAcentral. Lineage: Eukaryota; Fungi; Basidiomycota; Agaricomycetes; Sebacinales; Sebacinaceae.